GCUGCUUGUCUAAGCUCAUCUAAUCUUGCCAAGCGCUUCUGAACUUUCGCAAGGAUGCUCAACCUCUUCUUUUCAGCAGCAAGAAGCUUGGCUUCUAGUUGCUUUCUAAGCUCCCCAUCCUGCGAAAAUGAGCAUGUCGACAAUCUCAAUUUCGGCCGUGCCUUGCUUGACAAUAACUCAUAAAAUUGCUGACGACGUAAUUCGGCGUCCUUAAGCUUG
RNAcentral lists this unclassified non-coding RNA (219 nucleotides) under Hevea brasiliensis (rubber tree). The record is from RNAcentral. Lineage: Eukaryota; Viridiplantae; Streptophyta; Magnoliopsida; Malpighiales; Euphorbiaceae.